This 460-nucleotide ribosomal RNA is filed under the name uncultured bacterium. RNAcentral's name for it is "partial 16S ribosomal RNA". It matches the Rfam family "Bacterial small subunit ribosomal RNA", at positions 338 to 795 of the family's 1533-position model. The record is from RNAcentral.
CCUACGGGAGGCAGCAGUGAGGAAUAUUGGUCAAUGGGCGUACGCCUGAACCAGCCAAGUCGCGUGAGGGAUUAAUGCCCUGCGGGUCGUAAACCUCUUUUGCCGGGGAGCAACGCUCCGGACGUGUCCGGGCCGGGAGAGUACCCGGAGAAAAAGCAUCGGCUAACUCCGUGCCAGCAGCCGCGGUAAUACGGAGGAUGCGAGCGUUAUCCGGAUUUAUUGGGUUUAAAGGGUGCGUAGGCGGGAAUUUAAGCCAGCGGUAAAAUGUCGGGGCUCAACCUCGGCCUGCCGUCGAAACUGGGUGCCUUGAGUGGGCGAGAAGUAUGCGGAAUGCGUGGUGUAGCGGUGAAAUGCAUAGAUAUCACGCAGAACGCCGAUUGCGAAGGCAGCAUACCGGCGCCCUACUGACGCUGAGGCACGAAAGUGCGGGUAUCGAACAGGAUUAGAUACCCGAGUAGUC